UGAAUACGAGACGCUAAGGCGUCGAAGUAGUGUAUGUCAUACUUCCAAGAAAAGCUUGCACUGUCAUAGAUAAAAAACGCCUGUACCAUAACCGACACAGGUGGGUAGGUAGAGUAUACUAAGGGGCGCGAGAUAACUCUCUCUAAGGAACUCGGCAAAAUAACUCCGUAACUUCGGGAGAAGGAGUGCCUUAUUCGUAAGGUUGCAAUAACAAGAUCCAAGCAACUGUUUAUCAAAAACACAGGUCUCCGCUAAGUCGUAAGACGAUGUAUGGGGGCUGACGCCUGCCCAGUGCCAGAAGGUUAAAGAAGUUGGUUAGCAAUUGCGAAGCUGAUAACUGAAGCCCUGGUGAACGGCGGCCGUAACAAUAACGGUCCUAAGGUAGCGAAAUUCCUUGUCGGGUAAGUUCCGACCCGCACGAAAGGCGUAAUGAUUUGGAUACUGUCUCGGAGAGGGGCUCGGUGAAAUAGACUUGUCUGUGAAGAUGCGGACUACCUGCACCAGGACAGAAAGACCCUAUGAAGCUUUACUGUAACUUGAAAUUGAAAUUGGACUUUAUUCGCGCAGUAUAGGUGGGAGGCGUUGAUUAUAAUCUUGUGGGAUUAUUGGAGCCAUCAGUGAGAUACCACUCUUGUAAUGUUAGAUUUCUAACUUUGAAUCAUUAUCUGGUCAAAGAACAGUUUCAGGCGGGCAGUUUGACUGGGGCGGUCGCCUCCUAAACGGUAACGGAGGCGUACAAAGGUUUCCUCUGAACGGUUAGAAAUCGUAUCUAGAGUGUAAAGGCAUAAGGAAGCUUGACUGUGAGACCUACAAGUCGAGCAGGGACGAAAGUCGGUCUUAGUGAUCUGACGGUACUGAGUGGAAAGGCCGUCACUCAACGGAUAAAAGUUACUCUAAGGAUAACAGGCUGAUCUCCCCCAAGAGUUCACAUCGACGGGGAGGUUUGGCACCUCGAUGUCGGCUCAUCGCAUCCUGGGGCGGUAGUACGUCCCAAGGGUUGGGCUGUUCGCCCAUGAAAGCGGUACGCGAGCUGGGUUCAGAACGUCGUGAGACAGUUCGGUCCAUAUCCGGUGUAGGCGUUAGAAUAUUGAGAGGAGCCUUCUUUAGUACGAGAGGACCGAGAAGGACAUACCUCUGGUGUACCAGUUAUCGUGCCAACGGUAAACGCUGGGUAGCUAUGUAUGGAGUGGAUAACCGCUGAAAGCAUCUAAGUGGGAAGCCCACCUCAAGAUAAGUAUUCUCAUC
Molecule: ribosomal RNA, 1245 nt
Filed under: metagenome
Description: bacterial LSU rRNA
Rfam family: Bacterial large subunit ribosomal RNA
Source: RNAcentral